UACGAAGGGGGCUAGCGUUGCUCGGAAUUACUGGGCGUAAAGGGCGCGUAGGCGGCACUGUUAGUCAGGCGUGAAAGUCCUGGGCUCAACCUGGGAACUGCGCUUGAUACGGCAGAGCUAGAGGAUGGAAGAGGGUCGCGGAAUUCCCAGUGUAGAGGUAGAAAUUCGUAGAUAGUUGGGAAGAACACCGGUGGCGAAGGCGGCGACCUGGUCCAUUACUGACGCUGAGGCGCGACAGCGUGGGGGAGCAAACAGG
RNAcentral lists this ribosomal RNA (256 nucleotides) under uncultured bacterium. Its description in RNAcentral is "partial 16S ribosomal RNA". It matches the Rfam family "Bacterial small subunit ribosomal RNA", at positions 524 to 776 of the family's 1533-position model. The record is from RNAcentral.